AGCAGCCGCGGUAAUUCCAGCUCCAAUAGCGUAUAUUAAAGUUGUUGCAGUUAAAAAGCUCGUAGUUGAAUUUCGGGGUCAGUAGGUUGGUCAUGCCUUUGGUAUGUACUGGUCUCACUGAUUCCUCCCUCUUGAAGAACUGUAAUGUCAUUAAUUUGGUGUUGCGGGGAAUCAGGACUGUUACUUUGAAAAAAUUAGAGUGUUUAAAGCAGGCUUACGCUUGAAUACAUUAGCAUGGAAUAAUGAAAUAGGACGUUUGAUCCUAUUUUGUUGGUUUCUAGGAUUGACGUAAUGAUUAAUAGGGAUAGUUGGGGGGCAUUAGUAUUCAAUUGUCAGAGGUGAAAUUCUUGGAUUUAUUGAAGACUAACUACUGCGAAAGCAUUUGCCAAGGAUGUUUUCAUUAAUCAAGAACGAAAGUUAGGGGAUCGAAGACGAUCAGAUACCGUCGUAGUCUUAACCAUAAACUAUGCCGACUAGGGAUCGGAUGAUGUUAAUUUUUUAAUGACUCAUUCGGCGCCUU
RNAcentral lists this ribosomal RNA (520 nucleotides) under uncultured Glomus. RNAcentral describes it as "SSU rRNA". It matches the Rfam family "Eukaryotic small subunit ribosomal RNA", at positions 569 to 1089 of the family's 1831-position model. Lineage: Eukaryota; Fungi; Glomeromycota; Glomeromycetes; Glomerales; Glomeraceae. The record is from RNAcentral.